Long non-coding RNA from Apodemus sylvaticus (European woodmouse), 189 nucleotides. RefSeq lists it as uncharacterized. The record is from RefSeq and is a predicted model, not a curated record. The transcript has 3 exons. Lineage: Eukaryota; Metazoa; Chordata; Mammalia; Rodentia; Muridae.
AGGUCCUGGAGUAGAAGCUGGCCCUCAGGCACACUUCAGAGGUCCUGGAGUAGAAGCUGGCCCUCAGGCACACUUCAGAGGUCCUGGAGUAGAAGCUGGCCCUCAGGCACACUUCAGAGGUCCUGGAGUAGAAGCUGGCCCUCAGGCACACUUCAGAGGUCCUGGAGUAGAAGCUGGCCCUCAGGUACA